This 467-nucleotide ribosomal RNA is filed under the name Tropidocephala festiva. Its description in RNAcentral is "partial 16S ribosomal RNA". Lineage: Eukaryota; Metazoa; Arthropoda; Insecta; Hemiptera; Delphacidae. The record is from RNAcentral.
UUUAAAUAGCUGCAGUAAUUUAACUGUACAAAGGUAGCAUAAUAAUUAGUCUUUUAAUUGAGGUCUAGAAUGAAUGGUUUAACAAAAUAUAAUCUUUAUUAUUUUAAUUUAAUUAAAUUUAAUUUUUUAGUUAAAAAGCUAACAUAAUUAAAUGGGACGAUAAGACCCUAUAGAUCUUUAAUUUUUUUUUAAUAAAUGUUUUUUGGUUUUAUUAAAAUUUAAUUUAAUAAAAAUUUUAAUUGGGGUGAUUUAAAAAAAUUUAAAACUUUUUAAUAUUUUUUCAUAUAUUAAUGUUUAUUUGAUCUUAAAAUUUAGAUUAUUAGAUUAAGAUACCUUAGGGAUAACAGCACAAUAAGUUUGAAUAGUUCAUAUUGUUAAAUUUGUUUGUGACCUCGAUGUUGAAUUAAUUUUAAAAUUUGAAGUAGAAAUUAAAGUUUUUAGGUCUGUUCGACCUUUAAUUAAUUACA